Molecule: ribosomal RNA, 251 nt
Filed under: uncultured bacterium
Lineage: Bacteria
Description: partial 16S ribosomal RNA
Rfam family: Bacterial small subunit ribosomal RNA
Source: RNAcentral
CGUAGGGCGCAAGCGUUGUCCGGAAUUAUUGGGCGUAAAGAGCUCGUAGGCGGCUUGUCACGUCGAUUGUGAAAGCUCGGGGCUUAACCCCGAGUCUGCAGUCGAUACGGGCUAGCUAGAGUGUGGUAGGGGAGAUCGGAAUUCCUGGUGUAGCGGUGAAAUGCGCAGAUAUCAGGAGGAACACCGGUGGCGAAGGCGGAUCUCUGGGCAGUAACUGACGCUGAGGAGCGAAAGCGUGGGGAGCGAACAGG